UAAUCUUCAACGACCUUGAUCUUAAUAAAUAUUAUCCAGGACAUGAUUCUGAACAACAUUCAGGAGAUUUUAGCCGUUGAUUGGACACAUUAGAUACUGCUAAUGUCGACUGCAACUUCCAAGCUUUAUAACUUGAAAAGUAUUUAAUGAAAAAUAACUUUAUUAUAGAAAAGCUCUUGAUACCAGCUAUUAGACUGCGACAUAAAAAAUAGGAUGUUCAAUUUAAAAAAAAAUCGGUUUGACCUUGACCUAACCUUCGCGAGAUCACUCAAAGUCAAACGGAUGUGAUCAGUGAAUAGACCUUUUUAGAUUAUACAACUUUUGUUGGAAAUAUUAUUCUCAAAAAAUGCUUCGCUUUCGAGAUAUUCGACCGUUUCCAGACUUUUGAUAUAUAAUACUUUGUACUCGUAUAUUACACGAUUCUUAACUCUCACUUUUUUCCUUACAUAAAAACAUUGUCUGUGCGAAGUGGAUGCGCAGAAUAAAAUCCUCACAUGCAGGAAAGAGAUGUCAACAGAUCAGAUUACGAUGCGAGUUACGUGGGACAAACAGGAAAAUAGCUGAAGACGAGAACAGCUGAGCACAGGAAUCAUAUUUGGUGGAACAUAAUCACGUAUUCGAUCAUAAGUGACUACCGAUUGGAAGAAGACCACGAGUUCGAUUGGGAAAAUAUUGCAGUUUUGGAUGAGGAACCCCAAAACAGAAAGAUUGGUGUCAGAGAUGCUACACAUCAGGAGACAGACACGUAGCCUCAAUCUGCAGACAGACUUGGAAGGGCUUUCCUAAGGCGUAUUCUCCAAUUGUAGACGGACUAUAAAUAUCGGAGCGUUGUUAUUACCAGCUAAUCAGUGUACAUUCUUUGUUACAUUAAGAUUAAAUUAUUAAAGAUUCAA
Acromyrmex echinatior (Panamanian leafcutter ant) is the source of this 893-nucleotide long non-coding RNA. The record is from RefSeq and is a predicted model, not a curated record. NCBI's taxonomy places the organism in Eukaryota, Metazoa, Arthropoda, Insecta, Hymenoptera, Formicidae.